AGGGGUACCAAUGGCAGCACAGAGCAUGUGCAUGAGCCGCCUCCAGCUAACAUGGAGAGUGGUAACGAUGUGUGCGGCUCUUUGGAGGAGUGGCUCCAUGCAUUGCCAACAAUCAAGGAGUUAGAGUUGCCCCCACACAUGCAAGUCAUAUAUAACAAGCACAAAGAGCUCCAUGCCAUAGAACUUAAUGUUGCGUUCAGCUCAUUUGGGAGGGUCUUGCAGGGCAUGUACUACAAGCGGAUGGGCCUAAUGUUGUCUGAGGCACACAAAGCUGAGUGUAACAUCCAUCAACAGAGAGCCAAAGGUGAAGGCAUCACUUUCAGUGUAUCAGGGGGGACUUCUACUGCAGGCACGUCUGACGGGGCUGCAACUGAACCUUUUCCGCAACAGCCCAAGCAUCCGGAGCAGCCCAACAUUCAUCCUGGCACACACGGGACUGCAUGCAUGGAUGAUGCCACUGCCACUGUACCAUCUCCGCAACAGCGAAUU
Molecule: ribosomal RNA, 489 nt
Filed under: Triticum aestivum (bread wheat)
Lineage: Eukaryota; Viridiplantae; Streptophyta; Magnoliopsida; Poales; Poaceae
Description: partial small subunit ribosomal RNA
Source: RNAcentral